AGACCCGAAACCCGGUGAUCUAGCCAUGGGCAGGUUGAAGGUUGGGUAACACUAACUGGAGGACCGAACCGACUAAUGUUGAAAAAUUAGCGGAUGACCUGUGGCUGGGGGUGAAAGGCCAAUCAAACCGGGAGAUAGCUGGUUCUCCCCGAAAGCUAUUUAGGUAGCGCCUCGUGAAUUCAUCUCCGGGGGUAGAGCACUGUUUCGGCUAGGGGGCCAUCCCGGCUUACCAACCCGAUGCAAACUGCGAAUACCGGAGAAUGUUAUCACGGGAGACACACGGCGGGUGCUAACGUCCGUCGUGAAGAGGGAAACAACCCAGACCGCCAGCUAAGGUCCCAAAGUCAUGGUUAAGUGGGAAACGAUGUGGGAAGGCCCAGACAGCCAGGAUGUUGGCUUAGAAGCAGCCAUCAUUUAAAGAAAGCGUAAUAGCUCACUGGUCGAGUCGGCCUGCGCGGAAGAUGUAACGGGGCUAAACCAUGCACCGAAGCUGCGGCAGCGAACGUAUCACCCAAGACAACUUUACGGAGUUGACGAUUGACGGAGCGAAGCGACGUCAAAGCGUUCAUUAAAGUCGAGUUGGCUUAGGGAUACGUUCGUUGGGUAGGGGAGCGUUCUGUAAGCCGUUGAAGGUGGCCUGUGAGGGUUACUGGAGGUAUCAGAAGUG
This 667-nucleotide ribosomal RNA is filed under the name Salmonella enterica subsp. enterica. RNAcentral describes it as "partial 23S ribosomal RNA". It matches the Rfam family "Bacterial large subunit ribosomal RNA", at positions 711 to 1290 of the family's 2925-position model. Lineage: Bacteria; Pseudomonadati; Pseudomonadota; Gammaproteobacteria; Enterobacterales; Enterobacteriaceae. The record is from RNAcentral.